Molecule: transfer RNA, 61 nt
Filed under: Heterocypris spadix
Lineage: Eukaryota; Metazoa; Arthropoda; Ostracoda; Podocopida; Cyprididae
Description: tRNA-Ala
Rfam family: tRNA
About the family: Transfer RNA (tRNA) molecules are approximately 80 nucleotides in length.
Source: RNAcentral
AAAAUUAUAGUUAAGUAUAACAUUUGGUUUGCAUUCAAAAGGUGCCUUCGGGCUAAUUUUA